RNAcentral lists this ribosomal RNA (426 nucleotides) under Terebratulina retusa x Terebratulina septentrionalis. Its description in RNAcentral is "LSU rRNA". It matches the Rfam family "Bacterial large subunit ribosomal RNA", at positions 1914 to 2571 of the family's 2925-position model. The record is from RNAcentral. Lineage: Eukaryota; Metazoa; Brachiopoda; Rhynchonellata; Terebratulida; Cancellothyrididae.
GCUUUUAAAGUAAACGGCCGCGGUAACCUGACCGUGCAAAGGUAGCAUAGUCAAUUGCCUAAUAAUUAUAGGCUAGAAUGAAUGGUUCGACGAAAAACUCUCUGUCUCCUGAGCCAUAAAUUAAAACUAAUCUCAGGGUGAAAAAGCCCUGAUCCAAUCGAAGGACAAAAAGACCCUAUCGAGCUUAAGCCCAAGGUAUAAUUUAAAAUAGACAAUUAUAUAAUCGGCUUUUGUUGGGGCAACAACAGGGAAAUUAAAAACCCCUGUAAUUUAAAGCUAAAUAAAGAAUAAAACCAGUUCUACUGAAUAUAAAAAAGCUACCGUAGGGAUAACAGCGUAAUUCCUUAAUAGAGACCCUAUCGAAUAAGGAGAUUGCGACCUCGAUGUUGGACUAGGAGCCCUCUUUAACGCAGAAGUUAAAGAAAG